AGAACGAACGCUGGCGGCAUGCCUAACACAUGCAAGUCGAACGAGACCUUCGGGUUUAGUGGCGCACGGGUGCGUAACGCGUGGGAAUCUGCCCUUGGGUUCGGAAUAACAGUUGGAAACGACUGCUAAUACCGGAUGAUGACGUAAGUCCAAAGAUUUAUCGCCCAGGGAUGAGCCCGCGUAGGAUUAGCUAGUUGGUGAGGUAAAGGCUCACCAAGGCGACGAUCCUUAGCUGGUCUGAGAGGAUGAUCAGCCACACUGGGACUGAGACACGGCCCAGACUCCUACGGGAGGCAGCAGUGGGGAAUAUUGGACAAUGGGCGCAAGCCUGAUCCAGCAAUGCCGCGUGUGUGAAGAAGCUUCGGGUUGUAAGCA
RNAcentral lists this ribosomal RNA (375 nucleotides) under uncultured soil bacterium. RNAcentral's name for it is "bacterial SSU rRNA". It matches the Rfam family "Bacterial small subunit ribosomal RNA", at positions 26 to 432 of the family's 1533-position model. The record is from RNAcentral.